This is a long non-coding RNA of Cynoglossus semilaevis (tongue sole), 1336 nucleotides long. RefSeq lists it as uncharacterized. The record is from RefSeq and is a predicted model, not a curated record. NCBI's taxonomy places the organism in Eukaryota, Metazoa, Chordata, Actinopteri, Pleuronectiformes, Cynoglossidae. The transcript is spliced from 3 exons.
AAUAGAAAAAACUACAAUCAUGUUGAGCAGUUAUUCUCAUCAUGGCCUUGACAACAUUACGUUAUUCUAACUUUUGUUGAUGAAUUCAUUUGGGGGAAAAAAGAGAAUAUUUUUUCACUGUCAGAUAUAUGAAAAAAAUAUUAUGAACCAAGAAGUAACCUAAAUAAGUCACUGCAAAGAAAUAUUUUACAUUCUUUUAACUCAUUUGAUUUUUUUUAUCUCUUACCAUUAUCUUAUUAAAUCUGAUAUUUGAUGUAAAAUGCUGGAAUUUAAAUUUUAGAAAACUCCUGAAGAAUGAAUAACCAAAACUGUUUUGUGCCCCUUUCUGUUGGAAAUGUAACCUUUUUUCGACUUUUAUAACUCAUUAAUAACAUACAGAUAUGUAUAUACAAAUGUCAUUAACUGAAUUGUUGUUGUUUUUGUUUUCUCAUAUCAUAAAUGUCAUAUGUAACAGUGAAUUAUGUGAGUUGAGUAGAGGUAGUAAAGCAGGGUGACUAGGUUCAAAUACCUGGGGUCAACCAUCCAGGGAAAUGGACAGAGGACAAAAAAGGUGAAGAAAAGGGUGAAGACAGGGAGAUUUUCACUGGGAGUGAAGAGGAUGAACAGGAGUAGAAAUGAGUCGAUCAGAGGGACAGUUAAGGUGGAGCAGUUUGGAGAUAAGGUUAGAGAGGUGAGGUGGAGAUGGUUUGGACAUGUGUUGAGGAGAGGAAAGUAUCAGACAAAGGAUGUUAGAGACUACCAGAAAAAAGGAGAAGAGGAAGACCUCAGAGGAGAAUUGUGGAUGAUGUAAAAGAGCACAAGGAGAUAGUUGGAGGAAAAGACGAGGGGAGAUGGAGGCAGAUGAUCUGCUGUGGUGACCCCUGAAGGGAAACAGAUGUAGGAAGAAAAAUGUGGGUUUUUUAAAAAAAUUGUAUUACUAUCAGUAGUAACCUAGAGAAUUGCCAAUGUAAAACAUGUUACUUUUAAAAAACAAAAUAAAAUGUCUGAUUAUUAUCAAUGUAUCUCAGUACACUGUGUGCUCAGUAUCAAUAUUAACUUUCUUAAAUACAUUUCUGAUUUCUUUUUUACAUUAAUACAGAUCAUAAAAUGUCAGAAACCAUAUCUUCCAUCCUGUUCAGCUGGACAAACAUGAAGAGGGACUUGAGCAGCAGAAGAUGAAUGAAUAAGUGAAUGACUAAAGUCUCCCCAGAAGAGUUGACAUGAGUUGUUGAACGAUUGUCUCAAUCAAGUUUAAGUGAAGUACAGAUGCACCCUGGGAAGUCCGUCAGUGAUCAUGCUGAGUUGCUGACUACACAGUCAUUAUUCCGAAGUGUUACUCAUCACACUGGUACCCAUG